Molecule: small nucleolar RNA, 107 nt
Filed under: Olea europaea subsp. europaea
Lineage: Eukaryota; Viridiplantae; Streptophyta; Magnoliopsida; Lamiales; Oleaceae
Description: Plant small nucleolar RNA R71
Rfam family: Plant small nucleolar RNA R71
About the family: R71 is a member of the C/D box family of snoRNAs containing the C (UGAUGA) and D (CUGA) box motifs.
Source: Rfam by way of RNAcentral
AAUCCAUGUUUUGGACAUUGGUGGAGUAAACCCUUGUAUCAUUCCCAAUCCUCUGAAUAGCAUUCUUAGUUCAGUUGUUGGAAAGUAGUAAUCUCAUCUCUUAGCAU